GUGCCCGCUUAGGUAGCACAUAUACUAAAAUUAGAACUAUACCGAGAUUAGCAUGGCUCUUUGCAAGGAUAACACACAGAUUUGUGAAGCGUUCCAUAUUUUU
Hyaena hyaena (striped hyena) is the source of this 103-nucleotide small nuclear RNA. Lineage: Eukaryota; Metazoa; Chordata; Mammalia; Carnivora; Hyaenidae. The record is from RefSeq and is a predicted model, not a curated record.